UGUCUUCGAGUCGUUGAUUUCACACUGCCGAGAAAAGCCUCUAGAUAGAAAAUAGGUGCCCGUACCGCAAACCGACACAGGUAGUCAAGAUGAGAAUUCUAAGGUGAGCGAGCGAACUCUCGUUAAGGAACUCGGCAAAAUGACCCCGUAACUUCGGGAGAAGGGGUGCUCUUUAGGGUUAACGCCCAGAAGAGCCGCAGUGAAUAGGCCCAAGCGACUGUUUAUCAAAAACACAGGUCUCUGCUAAACCGUAAGGUGAUGUAUAGGGGCUGACGCCUGCCCGGUGCUGGAAGGUUAAGAGGAGUGGUUAGCUUCUGCGAAGCUACGAAUCGAAGCCCCAGUAAACGGCGGCCGUAACUAUAACGGUCCUAAGGUAGCGAAAUUCCUUGUCGGGUAAGUUCCGACCCGCACGAAAGGCGUAACGAUUUGGGCACUGUCUCAACGAGAGACUCGGUGAAAUCAUAGUACCUGUGAAGAUGCAGGUUACCCGCGACAGGACGGAAAGACCCCGUGGAGCUUUACUGUAGCCUGAUAUUGAAAUUCGGCACAGCUUGUACAGGAUAGGUAGGAGCCUUUGAAACGUGAGCGCUAGCUUACGUGGAGGCGCUGGUGGGAUACUACCCUAGCUGUGUUGGCUUUCUAACCCGCACCACUUAUCGUGGUGGGAGACAGUGUCAGGCGGGCAGUUUGACUGGGGCGGUCGCCUCCUAAAAGGUAACGGAGGCGCUCAAAGGUUCCCUCAGAAUGGUUGGAAAUCAUUCAUAGAGUGUAAAGGCAUAAGGGAGCUUGACUGCGAGACCUACAAGUCGAGCAGGGUCGAAAGACGGACUUAGUGAUCCGGUGGUUCCGCAUGGAAGGGCCAUCGCUCAACGGAUAAAAGCUACCCCGGGGAUAACAGGCUUAUCUCCCCCAAGAGUUCACAUCGACGGGGAGGUUUGGCACCUCGAUGUCGGCUCAUCGCAUCCUGGGGCUGUAGUCGGUCCCAAGGGUUGGGCUGUUCGCCCAUUAAAGCGGUACGCGAGCUGGGUUCAGAACGUCGUGAGACAGUUCGGUCCCUAUCCGUCGUGGGCGUAGGAAAUUUGAGAGGAGCUGUCCUUAGUACGAGAGGACCGGGAUGGACAUACCUCUGGUGUACCAGUUGUCGUGCCAACGGCAUAGCUGGGUAGCUAUGUGUGGACGGGAUAAGUGCUGAAAGCAUCUAAGCAUGAAGCCCCCCUCAAGAUGAGAUUUCCCAACUUCGGUUAUAAGAUCCCUCAAAGAUGAUGAGGUUAAUAGGUUCGAGGUGGAAGCAUGGUGACAUGUGGAGCUGACGAAUACUAAUCGAUCGAAGACUUAAUC
This 1338-nucleotide ribosomal RNA is filed under the name Staphylococcus aureus DAR3911. RNAcentral's name for it is "bacterial LSU rRNA". It matches the Rfam family "Bacterial large subunit ribosomal RNA", at positions 1581 to 2925 of the family's 2925-position model. Lineage: Bacteria; Bacillati; Bacillota; Bacilli; Caryophanales; Staphylococcaceae. The record is from RNAcentral.